UUUUAAAUCACUUAUAUCGAAUAUUUGUAUUACUUAUAAUUGAUGUAAAGAAAUUUUACAUCACUUAAAUAAACGAUUCGUAUCUUGUUGAUGAAAAUAAUUUACAUCGAUUUAUUAACAACUGAUGCAACUUCACAUAAUAUUUGCAUCGCUUGUUAUAACUGAUGUUUACUUUGAGUCGGUUAUAAAAACUGAUGUGAUAUUUACAUCAUUUUCUAUAAGUGAUGAUAUUAUUUACAUCACUUUGUCUAAACGAUGUUAGUAUUUGUAACGGUUAAAAAAACCUGAUGUGAUAUUU
RNAcentral lists this small RNA (298 nucleotides) under Arabidopsis thaliana (thale cress). RNAcentral's name for it is "ATSL156510". The record is from RNAcentral. Lineage: Eukaryota; Viridiplantae; Streptophyta; Magnoliopsida; Brassicales; Brassicaceae.